AUCUAAAUAUUUAUGUUUGUAGUGAGAUACAGCAGCCUCCUCGUUACAGCAAUUUCUAUUAUGUUUUCAGGGUACUUCAGCAAGGUCAUUUGAAACAUAGCACUGCCCUGGUUGGUUCUCCCUUACUCAUGUGCUCACGUCGUUCUCAGACAGUCACCCCAUUCAGUCAGCAUACUGGGUUAGCUGGUUGAGAAGCAAAGUCAAGGAGCUUUUGUCACUAUGGUGAUCAGCUCUCUAUCUCCGAUUUCCAAGGACAAAAUAGCUCUCCAGACACUACGGAUGUCCUGUUUGGCUCGAUCAACAACAAAUCUGUGAAAUCCAUCCAGUGUCAAAUACUUCUCUUCUGGAACUGACAGCAGAAAGGAGACUUCUCUGGGUCCUUCUCAUCAGGUUUGCCCUUCUCUGGAGAUUUUGGCUUUACAGUAGGUUUUUUCUCACUUAAAGCUGUUCUGCUGUGGGACAGAAACAUUUUUUUGGUUAGA
Molecule: long non-coding RNA, 482 nt
Organism: Mauremys mutica (yellowpond turtle)
Lineage: Eukaryota; Metazoa; Chordata; Testudines; Geoemydidae
Exons: 3
Source: RefSeq, a predicted model, not a curated record